This 431-nucleotide long non-coding RNA is filed under the name Carica papaya (papaya). RNAcentral's name for it is "long non-coding RNA (CPAP_LNC013733)". Lineage: Eukaryota; Viridiplantae; Streptophyta; Magnoliopsida; Brassicales; Caricaceae. The record is from RNAcentral.
UUCUCCUAAAAUUAUGAUUGAUAAAUUUAGAAAGUCAAGAAAGUUUGAGUGGGGCAUCUGUCUUGAGAUCAGGUAACAGCUAUAUGUAUUCAAGUUCAGCACCUACUCAGCAGUUCUGACCAAGGCACAACUAAUAGAGAGGAACCUUUGUAUCUUCCCUCCAGCAGUGAGUAAUUUCAGACCCCUAGUUUCACAUCGUAGACCAGUACCUACUGCACCGAUUCAGCAGAAUAAGAGAGCUAGGCCUAUAACUUAAGCUCAUUCUCAGACUCCGCCAACAGGAUGUGGUAGAACUUACCAACACUGUGGCAAAGAUCAUGGAGACCGACUCUGCUAUCACCUGAACAAUACUUGCCACAUAUGUGGAAGUGCUUAACACUACAUUAGAGAGUGCCCAUGAAACCAGAAUCAGACCAAACCUCCUAUCCAAG